UCAAAAGUACUGCUUCCCUUCUCAUCCAUCUCUUCUGGAAUUGGCAAAUGCCCUCAGGGGUCAAGCAACCACCAAUAACGGGUUUACUUUUCUGGGAGCUGAACUUCUGAUGUGUGGAUGGGAGGGGAGAUGGCAUAUGGCCUGGUGAAAUAGGAAUUCUUCAUUGUUUUUUCUAGCAUUCAUUUGGUUACUUCCAGUGUUUUAAAAUAAAAUAUUUGUCACAAACAAAUGAAAAAACAUUCCAU
Molecule: long non-coding RNA, 245 nt
Filed under: Homo sapiens (human)
Lineage: Eukaryota; Metazoa; Chordata; Mammalia; Primates; Hominidae
Description: HSALNT0376724
Source: RNAcentral